ACACAGAGAAGAGCAGGAGUGGAGGUGUGCGCAUAAACAUUUGCCUCGGAGAAAGAAGUGUUUCCACCAGGAUGCUCUCAAGGAGGAUUAAAUAGUGGAAUGAACCUUCCAGCUUGGUGGAUGUGCUGGAGUGAAUCAGAAAGGGCGAGUUUCCUGAAGGCCUGGGAAAAGUUUCCUGAAGGCACAGUGGAAAGCUGUGCCACUGCAUGCGUGCCCCUCUCUGUCGGUCGGCACGAGGUCCCUGCAGGUGCCUGCUCUCUGUGCACCUGGGAACAGCAACUGCAAACCCGAGUGGGUGCCUGCCAUCACCCAACAUCCCUCCCAUGUGAAGUAAUGCCCUCCUCAUCCCGCAAAGAUGGCAUUUUAUGUGAAACCUCCGCUGUGUAGAGGUAGUUGCAGUGGUAUGCCUUCCCGUCAACGAGAGAGCAAAAUAACCUGUGUUUGGUUCUGGCUCUUCUGCUUCCCAAGCCCAUGAGAUAUAAAGCACAGGCUGAGCUACAGUCGAAAGAACAAAUCAUCCAAAGCCACAACCUGUGCUUUCUUGGAGAAGGAAGUUUUUCAGAAAUGCAGGGAAAAUGGCUCUCUGCCACAUCUUGCCUGAAGACCAUACAUAUAUCACUGGAGAUCAGAGGAAGAGAUGACACACGCUGGCAUCAGGCAGGAUUUAUGGAAAGCUGCUCCUGUGACAGUCGUCUCCUACAUGACCUCUUGCAGUUCCUUCUAAGACUUCUUUCUUUUACUCCUUGUAAAUAUUCCUGGUGCAGAGGCAUUGAAAUAUUACAAAAAAAUAUUUGUAUACUCAUAAGGCAGAUGGAUGUGCUAAUUUCUCCAUGA
This 834-nucleotide long non-coding RNA is filed under the name Anser brachyrhynchus (Pink-footed goose). RNAcentral describes it as "lncRNA (ENSABRG00000010881.1)". The record is from RNAcentral. Lineage: Eukaryota; Metazoa; Chordata; Aves; Anseriformes; Anatidae.